UAGAUAAGAGAUUGUUUUUAUGACGACUAUGACGGUUGUUGGAUUCUCGUCUUGUCAUUCCUAGACGACUAUAGAGUAAUUGCGGAUUCUCAUCCCUUGUCAUUUCUAAUACGUUUGUGCUAUGGCUUUUUAUCGAAAGACUGGAUAGUCCGAAUCUCUCAUGUGUAUAGGGAAGCUAAUCAUCUUGCCGAUGGAUUAACGAACUAUGCUUUCUCUUUACUCCUAUGUUUGCAUUUGUUGGAGUCUAGGCCCGAUGUUGUUAGUUCUAUUUUGUUAGAUGAUGUAGCGGGGGUUUCGUACCCGAGACAUGUCCAAGUGUAAUUUUUUAAUUUUCUUUUAAUAAAACGGGAGACGCAGUCUCCCUCAUUCUACCAAAAAAAAAAUGACGGUUGUUGGAUUAGCUACAUUACUUGAAUCUGGAAAAAAACCCAGUUAUCUACUGCGACAACGUUGGAGCAACAUUUCUUUGCGCUAACCCGGUUUUUCAUUCGCGAAUGAAACACAUUGCCAUCGACUAUCACUUCAUCAGAGGCUACAUUCAAUAAGACAUCUUCCGAGUCGCUCACGUUAACACCAAAUAUCAACUCGGGGACAUUCUCACACAAACCACCAGGACCGAACAGUGCAAGGAGAAACAAUUGAUUGUGACCCCUAAAAAAUUGGAAAUUUUUUCUUUACAAAAAGGGUCCCCAAUUAUUUAUUUCUUUUAAAUUGGCCCUCAAUUUUUUUUUCCCUUAAAAAAUUUUUACGCCCCCAAAAAUUCAGGGCGGGCCCUACAAACCACUCACAAGGACAAGAUUUGUUGAACUAAAGAA
RNAcentral lists this small RNA (815 nucleotides) under Arabidopsis thaliana (thale cress). RNAcentral describes it as "ATSL294720". Lineage: Eukaryota; Viridiplantae; Streptophyta; Magnoliopsida; Brassicales; Brassicaceae. The record is from RNAcentral.